Molecule: long non-coding RNA, 1131 nt
Filed under: Equus caballus (horse)
Lineage: Eukaryota; Metazoa; Chordata; Mammalia; Perissodactyla; Equidae
Description: lncRNA (ENSECAG00000049703.1)
Source: RNAcentral
UGGGUACAUAGUUGUGUAUUUUUAGUUGUGGGUCCUUCUAGUUGUGGUAUGUGGGAUGCCGCCUCGGCAUGGCCUGAUGAGCAGUGUCAUGUCCGCGCCCAGGACUGGAACUGGCGAAACCCUGGGCUGCCAAGCAGAGAUCUUGAACUUAACCACUCGGCCACGGGGCCGGCCCCUAGAUUUGACUUUCUAACUUUCACUUCUUUUAAUCAUGGGCAAGCUGCUUAACUUUGUGAAACUUCAGCUUCUCUCUCUUUCUCUCCCUCUCUCUUUCAAUCUGUGUUUGUGUGUGUAGUGUGUGUCUUCAUUAGGAAGUAUGAAUAAUAUAAUAUAAAUUACAGUGCUUUAAAAAAAUCAUUUUACGAACAGUAAAUAUUUUUUUGAAUCCAUUUUCUCUACCAAGCUUUAUGGAGACACAAAAAUGAGAAUUUCAAAAUCUGUGAAUUCAAGGAAAUCCCUCAUGAGACAAAGCAGUUUGAAGGAUUUGGAUGGGCACUAACUGAAGGAAGCAGUCGAAAUGCUAAAACAUUGGGCAGAGAAGAUAAGAGACCUUGGGAACCCCCAUGCCAAAACUUCUGCAAGAAACAGCAAUUCAGCAAGCCCUGCAAUGAGUUUAGUGUUAUUCUCCUGAAGCUGCUUUUAUGUCAGCAAGAUGUUAAAGCUGUUUGAUGGACGACAUGUCAGAGAAGAGAAGAUUCUUGGGGCCUUGUUUUCUACAAUCAAGAGCAGCUGUAAGAUUCUUUAGAAGUAAUUUUUUUCACACGGGCCAUACAGCUCUCCCAUUGUCUCCUGGAAAUCUCCGUGAGUAGAGAGUUGACUUGCUCCAGCUCCGUUCCAUUAGGAAGGAAGGUUAGAGGAAAACCUCAGGAUGACUGCCCGCGGGAGAAGGAGAGAUCAGAAAAAAGAACCUGAAACUCUGCAGGAACAAUCAGGGACCUUGGACAAAAAUGCUUCUGGGUGGCCAAGGAUGUGACAAUUUUCCUUAACUCACCUAGGAGGCAUUCAAAAGAAAUUUGUAGACUUUAUAAAAGAGAUUCAGGAAAUAUAUACUUUAUCCUAAAAGAACAAAUUUGUUAAAAUACUGUGUUAUUCUGAUAUGAAGAGGUAUUAAGAAAAGCUAUCUUAACAUGA